Molecule: long non-coding RNA, 1968 nt
Organism: Pan paniscus (pygmy chimpanzee)
Lineage: Eukaryota; Metazoa; Chordata; Mammalia; Primates; Hominidae
Source: Ensembl
GCUGGGAUUAUAGGCAUGAGCCACUGCGCCCAGCCGGUUAUGCCAGUUUAAAGUCCUUAUUCUGUGUGAAGCUUUGUGUUACUUUUGUGUUUCAGUACGUUCCCCUACCUAAUCCUUAUAAAACUCUGUCUAGGUUAUGCAAUUUGUGGGGCCCAGUGAAAAAAGAAAAUGUUGGGCCCCUUGUUCAAAUUAUUAAGAAUUUCAAGAUGGCAACAGAAGAGCAUUGAACCAAACACACGGCACUUUGCAGCUUUGCAGUGUGAGCCCUGCAAGAUGGCACGAGUCAGAUGCCGUGAAGCUGGGUGUUAUGUCCUCAUUUAUCACAGGAGGAGACUGAGACACAGAGGAGCUAUGUCUUACUCAAGGCCAGACAGCUUGGAUGCUGAAGAGGCUGUUGUCAUGAGAAACUCCAUCGCUAAUGGCUAUAACUGUGCUUGUGCAACUAUGACAAAGAACUUCCCCCACAAUGCUGUGGCUGGAAUGAUGCUAGUGAAAUUCAGGUGGCAGUUGAAGACAAGAAGAUGGAGAACGGCCUGAGAUGUGACAAAUACUUGCAUUCACCACAUAUGAAAUUUGGGAUCGGCCUUGGCAUAGGAUGGCACAUGAGGACUUCGGUGUUCUCCCCUCCUCCUGCAGGAUUCCAGCGAGAUUGGAAUGAUCAUGACAGCUGACACAUCCAGCUGAGACUCCUGGCAUUGCUCACUGGCCUAACAUGAAAACGUUUCUUUUGCCUCCUACUGGCAUGGAGGCUGUGGAACAAACACCACUGGGAUCACUUAGGGUGCUCCAGGGAAGGUGCCCUAGAUGAUGGCAUGGGGUCUGUCAUCUCUCUCCCUGCUGUCCCAACAAGCACAGUGGAAGGAACCAGCAGGUGAGGGGAAUCCAGCCUCUUAGGGAUGUCACCAAGGCCUCUUAGCUCUUCCCAUGCUUCCAUUCCACCAUCCCCAGCACAUUGACUUUCAUCCUCAGCUUCAGCCUCUCAAAUCCACAAGACAUCGUUUUCUCAUAAAAUUGUGCCCAAAUACAGGAAGAGUGUCUUAUUUUGGGUUCCCCUAAAAGCAGAGCCUGAUAUAUAAUUUGGGAACUGGUCCAGAAGUGGGAGUGAGAAACUGGGGACCGUGAGGCAGGAAGGGAGGAAAAGGCAGCGUAAGGGCUCACUGUGGAGGCAGGUGCCGUGGUCUCUGGGAAUCAUGCAGAACAUGGUCAGAAUUUGUUCACCUGAAGGUGAUGCUCCUGGAGACUUCUUCCAGUGCCCCUGUUCCCCAGCGGCUUGGAGGGUUUUGAAUGCAGGUGUUUGGCAUGGCAGUGGGGCAGUGCAGGAGAAAACUCAAAGGCAAAAAGUCAAGGUGCUCAAUGUGGGCUUGGGGUGGUGCACUGCCGGCUCAAGGUGAGUCUGGGCUCGUGAAGAUGCUCUCCAUUAUGGUGGUCUGAAGUGAAGGUUCAGUACUACGUGCUGCCUCAAUACCUGACAGUAGGAGGGUAAGCUCCCCUCCACUCUGCUCCUACAGAUAAGGUUCCCUAGCCAAACAAUCCUCCUUAUCACUGUGACCAGCCACAGUUCCUCCUUAUUCUUAUCCUGAGUAUAGGAUUCAGUUCCCUGCCAGACCAGGGAAUUAUUCAAAUAAGCCAAGCGCAUCCUCCCAUGGGACUCAGGGGGCGCCUCAUCCUCUUGAUGCUACAAAAACUGCUUCCCACAGCCCCUGCUUAUUCACCCUGUUCCCAAGUGCCCUCUGUUCCCUGGGCCCCGCUUAGUGUGGAGUGUGCUGUGUUCUCUUCCACAGGCUGUGAGUAUGUGUGAUUGAUAAACUGCUGGCAGCGCAUCUGUCCAGUGUUGGGUGUUGGGAGUUGAGUGCUUAGCUAUCCCCAUUACCCUGUGGUGGGACUCUCUCCCUCACCAGUGGGGUGUCACGGAAGGAAUAAAAAUCACUGUGACUCAGAAUGUCCAUCACCACUGCAGCUGAAAUUAAG